GAACUGCGAUAAGUAUUGUGAAUUGCAGAAUUCAGUGAAUCAUCGAGUCUUUGAACGCACAUUGCGCCCCCUGGCAUUCCGGGGGGCAUGCCUGUCCGAGCGUCAUUGCUGCCCUUCAAGCCCGGCUUGUGUGUUGGGUCGUCGUCCCCUCCGGGGGACGGGCCCGAAAGGCAGCGGCGGCACCGCGUCCGGUCCUCGAGCGUAUGGGGCUUUGUCACCCGCUCGAUAAGGACCGGCCGGGCGCCAGCCGGCGUCUCCAACCUUUUUUUCUCAGGUUGACCUCGGAUCAGGUAGGGAUACCCGCUGAACUUAAGC
This 315-nucleotide unclassified non-coding RNA is filed under the name plant metagenome. RNAcentral describes it as "partial contains 5.8S ribosomal RNA, internal transcribed spacer 2, and large subunit ribosomal RNA". The stretch from base 1 to 105 matches the Rfam family "5.8S ribosomal RNA", at positions 50 to 154 of the family's 154-position model. The record is from RNAcentral.